RNAcentral lists this ribosomal RNA (814 nucleotides) under Salmonella enterica. RNAcentral describes it as "partial 23S ribosomal RNA". It matches the Rfam family "Bacterial large subunit ribosomal RNA", at positions 2119 to 2925 of the family's 2925-position model. Lineage: Bacteria; Pseudomonadati; Pseudomonadota; Gammaproteobacteria; Enterobacterales; Enterobacteriaceae. The record is from RNAcentral.
GAACAUUGAGCCUUGAUGUGUAGGAUAGGUGGGAGGCUUUGAAGCGUGGACGCCAGUCUGCGUGGAGCCGACCUUGAAAUACCACCCUUUAAUGUUUGAUGUUCUAACGUGGACCCGUAAUCCGGGUUGCGGACAGUGUCUGGUGGGUAGUUUGACUGGGGCGGUCUCCUCCUAAAGAGUAACGGAGGAGCACGAAGGUUGGCUAAUCCUGGUCGGACAUCAGGAGGUUAGUGCAAUGGCAUAAGCCAGCUUGACUGCGAGCGUGACGGCGCGAGCAGGUGCGAAAGCAGGUCAUAGUGAUCCGGUGGUUCUGAAUGGAAGGGCCAUCGCUCAACGGAUAAAAGGUACUCCGGGGAUAACAGGCUGAUACCGCCCAAGAGUUCAUAUCGACGGCGGUGUUUGGCACCUCGAUGUCGGCUCAUCACAUCCUGGGGCUGAAGUAGGUCCCAAGGGUAUGGCUGUUCGCCAUUUAAAGUGGUACGCGAGCUGGGUUUAGAACGUCGUGAGACAGUUCGGUCCCUAUCUGCCGUGGGCGCUGGAGAACUGAGGGGGGCUGCUCCUAGUACGAGAGGACCGGAGUGGACGCAUCACUGGUGUUCGGGUUGUCAUGCCAAUGGCACUGCCCGGUAGCUAAAUGCGGAAGAGAUAAGUGCUGAAAGCAUCUAAGCACGAAACUUGCCCCGAGAUGAGUUCUCCCUGAGACUUAGAGUCUCCUGAAGGAACGUUGAAGACGACGACGUUGAUAGGCCGGGUGUGUAAGCGCAGCGAUGCGUUGAGCUAACCGGUACUAAUGAACCGUGAGGCUUAACCUUAC